AAGGAGGGUGAAAGCGUUAAUCGGAAUCAAUGGGCGUAAAGCGCACGUAGGCGGUUUUGCAAGUAAGAAGUGAAAUCCCUUGGCUCAACCGAGGAAUUGCGUUUGAAACUGCAGGACUGGAGUACUAGAUAGGAUGGCGGAAUUCCUGGUGUAGGAGUGAAGUCCGUAGAUAUCAGGAGGAACUCCAGUGGCGAAGGCGGCCACCUGGACAAAUACUGACGCUGAUGUGCGAAAGCGUGGGGAGCAAACAG
RNAcentral lists this ribosomal RNA (251 nucleotides) under uncultured prokaryote. Its description in RNAcentral is "partial 16S rRNA". It matches the Rfam family "Bacterial small subunit ribosomal RNA", at positions 525 to 775 of the family's 1533-position model. The record is from RNAcentral.